UAGGGAAUCUUCCGCAAUGGGCGAAAGCCUGACGCAGCCAUGCCGCGUGAAUGAUGAAGGUCUUAGGAUUGUAAAAUUCUUUCACCGGGGACGAUAAUGACGGUACCCGGAGAAGAAGCCCCGGCUAACUUCGUGCCAGCAGCCGCGGUAAUACGAAGGGGGCUAGCGUUGCUCGGAAUUACUGGGCGUAAAGGGAGCGUAGGCGGACAUUUAAGUCAGGGGUGAAAUCCCGGGGCUCAACCUCGGAAUUGCCUUUGAUACUGGGUGUCUUGAGUAUGAGAGAGGUGUGUGGAACUCCGAGUGUAGAGGUGAAAUUCGUAGAUAUUCGGAAGAACACCAGUGGCGAAGGCGACACACUGGCUCAUUACUGACGCUGAGGCUCGAAAGCGUGGGGAGCAAACAGG
RNAcentral lists this ribosomal RNA (404 nucleotides) under Actinomycetes bacterium. Its description in RNAcentral is "Actinobacteria bacterium partial 16S ribosomal RNA". It matches the Rfam family "Bacterial small subunit ribosomal RNA", at positions 355 to 776 of the family's 1533-position model. The record is from RNAcentral. Lineage: Bacteria; Bacillati; Actinomycetota; Actinomycetes.